This 333-nucleotide ribosomal RNA is filed under the name uncultured Bacillota bacterium. RNAcentral describes it as "bacterial SSU rRNA". It matches the Rfam family "Bacterial small subunit ribosomal RNA", at positions 28 to 351 of the family's 1533-position model. The record is from RNAcentral. Lineage: Bacteria; Bacillati; Bacillota.
GACGAACGCUGGCGGCGUGCCUAAUACAUGCAAGUCGAGCGAAUCAUUAGGAGCUUGCUCCUAAUGAUUAGCGGCGGACGGGUGAGUAACACGUGGGCAACCUGCCUAUAAGACUGGGAUAACUUCGGGAAACCGGAGCUAAUACCGGAUAAUUCUUUCCUUCUCAUGAAGGAAAGCUGAAAGACGGUUUCGGCUGUCACUUAUAGAUGGGCCCGCGGCGCAUUAGCUAGUUGGUGAGGUAAUGGCUCACCAAGGCAACGAUGCGUAGCCGACCUGAGAGGGUGAUCGGCCACACUGGGACUGAGACACGGCCCAGACUCCCUAGGGUGGCAG